RNAcentral lists this ribosomal RNA (253 nucleotides) under uncultured bacterium. Its description in RNAcentral is "partial 16S ribosomal RNA". It matches the Rfam family "Bacterial small subunit ribosomal RNA", at positions 524 to 776 of the family's 1533-position model. The record is from RNAcentral.
UACGGAGGGUGCAAGCGUUGCUCGGAUUUAUUGGGCGUAAAGGGCAGGUAGGUGGUCUCGUUUGUCUGGGGUGAAAGCCUUGAGCUUAACUCAAGAAGUGCCCCAGAAACGGCGAGACUAGAGUCCUAGAGAGGGUCGUGGAAUUCCCGGUGUAGCGGUGAAAUGCGUAGAUAUCUGGAGGAAUACCGGUGGCGAAGGCGGCAUCCUGGACCGACAUUGACGCUGAGGAGCGAAAGCUAGGGGAGCAAACGGG